CGCCAUCUUUGCCAACUCGGUCCUUGGCGGUCUGAUGUUUGUUGUCGUCGCCGCUGUCGUCGCAAUCAUUGCAAUGACCGUCAUCGUCCAUGUCCAGUGGUACCCAAGACACGUCUGCAGAGUCGACGCACGCGACAAAAGGCAAUCUUUCGUCCGUGAUUGUGCCGACAGGAGUCGCCAGUAUCGCCACCAUGUCGUCAAACACACCAACCAGGAGGCGGGCAAGACUAGGGUCAUCGACAUGGUGUGCACAUGUACCACACACACGAAACCUAUUGUCGUCCGUGAGGUGCUCCCUGGCAUCUGCGUCGCGGGCAGCAGAGGGCGGCCUGUCGGCAAACCAAAAGAGACGCCAGACGCCGGCGGUCACGACGACGGCAACCGGGUUAGCGACGCCUCGGUAGACGCGCAAGAGCAUGAGCCAAUCGAAAACAACCGUGCCGAGGUCUCCAGUAUUAUUGUCGGCACUAGUGUAGACCAAGACGACUCCUGUGUAGCGUCGGUCAUGGGGUCCGUCGACGAGACGACUGCCGUGUGAGGCGGCACGACGAGUCUCUAGGCCGAGACCGAUCGCACCCUCGUGCAUCGCAAAGAGACCGCCGGCACCGCAAAAGGCCCUUGGACCAUUCUUGUUGGGAUGGCGCUCCCUGAGAAUGGCCGAUAGCGCCGAGAGGACGCAUGUUGUUGGAUCGCCCGAUCGUGCCUUUUGCAAGUGACGCCUCGCGUCGGCGAUUGCCCCGUCCGAGAGCGCCGGUGCCGCCCGAGGGACGGCGGAAGGUCGAGGUCGGCGUCCCAUCGUCGCCAUUUCCCUGGUGCCCGCAAUGCGCCUUUUUUUUGGCGGCGCCGUAUCUAUGUUGUCCCUGGCCUUUUAUCCCUUCUCUGUCUGCGUGAUAGAGAUUUGCG
Molecule: long non-coding RNA, 903 nt
Filed under: Pandoravirus celtis
Description: hypothetical ncRNA
Source: RNAcentral